GCCAGACUCCUACGGGAGGCAGCAGUGGGGAAUAUUGCACAAUGGGGGAAACCCUGAUGCAGCGACGCCGCGUGAGUGAAGAAGUAUUUCGGUAUGUAAAGCUCUAUCAGCAGGGAAGAAAUAGCGACCUUUGGGUCGCCAGACGGUACCUGAUUAAGAAGCCCCGGCUAACUACGUGCCAGCAGCCGCGGUAAUACGUAGGGGGCAAGCGUUAUCCGGAUUUACUGGGUGUAAAGGGAGCGUAGACGGCGAGGUAAGCCUGAAGUGGAAGCCCGCGGCCCAACCGCGGAACUGCUUUGGGAACUGUUUUGCUGGAGUAUGGGAGGGGUAAGCGGAAUUCCUGGUGUAGCGGUGAAAUGCGUAGAUAUCAGGAGGAACACCGGUGGCGAAGGCGGCUUACUGGACUGUAACUGACGUUGAGGCUCGAAAGCGUGGGGAGCAAACAGGAUUAGAUACCCCAGUA
RNAcentral lists this ribosomal RNA (463 nucleotides) under uncultured bacterium. RNAcentral describes it as "bacterial SSU rRNA". It matches the Rfam family "Bacterial small subunit ribosomal RNA", at positions 330 to 792 of the family's 1533-position model. The record is from RNAcentral.